AUUGAACGCUGGCGGCAGGCCUAACACAUGCAAGUCGAACGGUAACAGGAAGCAGCUUGCUGCUUUGCUGACGAGUGGCGGACGGGUGAGUAAUGUCUGGGAAACUGCCUGAUGGAGGGGGAUAACUACUGGAAACGGUAGCUAAUACCGCAUAACGUCGCAAGACCAAAGAGGGGGACCUUAGGGCCUCUUGCCAUCGGAUGUGCCCAGAUGGGAUUAGCUAGUAGGUGGGGUAACGGCUCACCUAAGCGACGAUCCCUAGCUGGUCUGAGAGGAUGACCAGCCACACUGGAACUGAGACACGGUCCAGACUCCUACGGGAGGCAGCAGUGGGGAAUAUUGCACAAUGGGCGCAAGCCUGAUGCAGCCAUGCCGCGUGUAUGAAGAAGGCCUUCGGGUUGUAAAGUACUUUCAGCGGGGAGGAAGGGAGUAAAGUUAAUACCUUUGCUCAUUGACGUUACCCGCAGAAGAAGCACCGGCUAACUCCGUG
RNAcentral lists this ribosomal RNA (490 nucleotides) under uncultured bacterium. RNAcentral describes it as "partial 16S ribosomal RNA". It matches the Rfam family "Bacterial small subunit ribosomal RNA", at positions 30 to 507 of the family's 1533-position model. The record is from RNAcentral.